CGUAGGGUGCGAGCGUUAAUCGGAAUUACUGGGCGUAAAGCGUGCGCAGGCGGUUUAGUAGGACAGGCGUGAAAUCCCCGGGCUCAACCUGGGAACUGCGCUUGUGACUGCUAAGCUAGAGUACGGCAGAGGGGGGUGGAAUUCCACGUGUAGCAGUGAAAUGCGUAGAGAUGUGGAGGAACACCAAUGGCGAAGGCAGCCCCCUGGGUCGAUACUGACGCUCAUGCACGAGAGCGUGGGUAGCAAACAGGAUUAGAUACCCUGGUAGUCCACGCCCUAAACGAUGUCAACUAGGUGUUGGGAGGGUAAAACCUUUUAGUACCGGAGCUAACGCGUGAAGUUGACCGCCUGGGGAGUACGGCCGCAAGGUUA
This 372-nucleotide ribosomal RNA is filed under the name uncultured organism. Its description in RNAcentral is "bacterial SSU rRNA". It matches the Rfam family "Bacterial small subunit ribosomal RNA", at positions 526 to 896 of the family's 1533-position model. The record is from RNAcentral.